GUCUUGUUGAUUAUAAUUUCAAGUCUGACCUGCCCAGUGAUGAGAUUUAACGGCCGCGGUAUUUUGACCGUGCAAAGGUAGCAUAGUAAUUAGUUUUUUAAUUGAAAGCUUGAAUGAAAGGUCUGAUGAAAAAAAGACUGUCUCUAGAAAAAUUUUUAUAGAAUUUUAUUUUUAAGUAAAAAAGCUUAAAUGUGAAUAGAAGACGAGAAGACCCUAUAGAGUUUAAUAUUUUGCAAGUAGAGGAGUUUUAGGAUUAUGAAAAUUUUAUUAUUUGUAUUGGUAUUUUAUUGGGGUGAUAGAAAAAUUAAAUGAACUUUUUUUUUAUUUAAAUACAUUUAUUUAUGGAUAGGUGAUCCUAUUGUUUAGAUUAUAAGAUUAAAUUACCUUAGGGAUAACAGCGUAAUUUUUUUUAGAGUUCUUAUCGAAAAAAAAGAUUGCGACCUCGAUGUUGGAUUAAAAUUAAUUGUUGGUGUAGAAGCUAAUAAAUUAGGUCUGUUCGACCUUUAAAAUUUUACAUGAUCUGAGUUUAAACCGGUGUGAA
Molecule: ribosomal RNA, 541 nt
Filed under: Trigonopterus sp. 92 AR-2022a
Lineage: Eukaryota; Metazoa; Arthropoda; Insecta; Coleoptera; Curculionidae
Description: partial large subunit ribosomal RNA
Rfam family: Bacterial large subunit ribosomal RNA
Source: RNAcentral